This is a long non-coding RNA of Pomacea canaliculata, 1946 nucleotides long. RefSeq lists it as uncharacterized. The transcript is spliced from 3 exons. The record is from RefSeq and is a predicted model, not a curated record. Lineage: Eukaryota; Metazoa; Mollusca; Gastropoda; Architaenioglossa; Ampullariidae.
UGCAGUUGUGCCCCCUCUUGCAUCAGUGUGAGAGCUACCAAUAGAAUGCAGGAUUGCUCUUUCUCUCAUCACAUUCAUGCAGCCUGCAAGACAAAGAGAAAUGGUAGAUCAAUAACAUCUAAAACAUCCUUUAAAUCCACUGAUGACAUUGGCCAUAAAAAUUAUGGCAGGAACAAGGUUGAACUUCAAAAGAAAGAUUGGAGAAACUGUUUGCAACCCGCGGUUACACAUACGGUCAGGAUUAGGAAUCCUUGUAUACGUUUGCUACAAAUAAAAAAAAAAGGGUUACCUGAAAGUGUUGGUGUAAUUCCCGAGGUGAAGAGGGAAACAGUAACAGAAUAUUGAAGAAAGAAAGGUGAUGAAAACAAGAAAAAAAAACCAAUCCCGAAUUUAAUCAUUUACAGUUUCAAGUUAGAACUUUUUCGUUGUUGUUGCUCUUUCUCCAUCUCUUAAACAGUGUUGUUCUGUUGUCCAAAACAAAACAAUUACCACACGAGAGCCAAAGUAACAGAGGCGCAUAUGCAAGCUUUGUACUCCAGCCUCGAUGAUGUGCAUUUGCAGACUACUUUUUAAUAAUAAAAAAUGGUGUGUGUGUGGAUAGACGUGCCUGAUGAUUAUAGCUGCCACGGAAGUCCAGAUAUCGGUCAGAAAAUGGUCUGCUAGAAAGAAUUCGCUAGAUGGAAACAUGCUGCUGGUAUCAAGACAGAGGACGUAAGAAAUAAAGUCUACAUACACAAGUACUGGAAAAUAAAAUAAUACUAUAGACACUAGCGUGCACUAUAUAUUACUAAGUCGCACUCAAAACUUCGGAUAGUUAAUACAAAUGAAAACGAAAUAAUAACAAAAACUAGGGGAGCUAACUGCUAGCCGGAGUCCUCGCAUUCUCGAGGGUUACGUUUCUCCCCACCUGCUUUUGUUCUGAGCCCAGGAUUAGGUGGAGAAAGACGCCUCCUUCAGUCGGUACCGCCCACACCAUAGAAGUCUUCACCUCCCACUUGGCCGAGAUGAAAACAAUUAGCGAAGACUGACCGCUUACAGUAUAGUCAGCGCCGUGUGUCCUACCUGCUGUAGUUUCUACUGUUACCUGUGUCAAUGAUUUGGUUGCUGCUUGUAUUUGGUUGCUUUGGGCUGAUGUAAUUUUAUAUCACACUUUUAUGUGUAGAUCAUUAUGUAUAGAUUUUGAUGUCGAAGAAAAUGUUCUUUGUCAUUUGCAAUUUUUCCCCGGAGAAAGUAGUGUUGUAGAAAACGUUGUCUAAACUAUUAUAUGCAGGUUCACUACUAUAGUCCACCUUAGAUCAAGUACAGUACAGGUCAAAGCACUAAAAGUUGUUGUGGGAGUAUACCUUUGUACACAUCAAACCUGUCGGUACUGGCAGAAACAGGAGAGAAACCUAUAGAAUUGGUACUACACGAUUUUCUAAAUCCAUUCUGUGUUUCCUUGCACUGCUGAGCUUUCGUCAGAGCACGGAUCGACUUUAAAGAGGUAUUUAAUGUAGUUUGUGGUUGGACAACGCAUAGAAAAUACCAAGGAUGCAGAAACAAACAUAACAGCCCCUUACCCACACAACAAUUUACAUGCAAACACCACUGUAGACACUUCCACAACCACAGACUUUGACCUCACAAGGCUUUUUUGGGGUUUGGAAGUGAGAAUGGAGAGAAGACAGGUCAGCCGCAGAGUGAUCGAAGUUCUGAAUAAAAAUCUGCAGUUAUGCGGCAAAUUCCAUCUUUGUUGUGUUCGUGUACGACUAGCCCACCCCUACGUAGCCCUUGGGCACUGACUUGUUGGUUACACCAGCUUUAUUUGUUGUAAUCCUCGUGAUCCAUUUUCUUCUCACUGACCAGAGACGUUAAAUGUUAUCUGCACCGACAAAAGCCGCUGAUCGAUACACUGGGUAUCCCUCUCGGCCCCUCCCUCUCGUUAGGCCUGUGAAAAACAAGUAAGA